AGCCGUAAUCGCCCAUGAGGCGGCCCAUAUCACCAAUGGGCAUCUGUCGCGGCGGAUGCAGAACAUGCGUUCGGCCCGCUCUGCAGCUG
This 89-nucleotide transfer RNA is filed under the name Phaeobacter inhibens. RNAcentral's name for it is "tRNA-Val". The record is from RNAcentral. Lineage: Bacteria; Pseudomonadati; Pseudomonadota; Alphaproteobacteria; Rhodobacterales; Roseobacteraceae.